AACGGACGCUGGCGGCAUGCCUAACACAUGCAAGUCGAACGAGACCUUCGGGUCUAGUGGCGCACGGGUGCGUAACGCGUGGGAACCUGCCCUUAGGUUCGGAAUAACUCCCCGAAAGGGGUGCUAAUACCGGAUAAUGUCUUCGGACCAAAGAUUUAUCGCCUUUGGAUGGGCCCGCGUUGGAUUAGCUAGUUGGUAGGGUAAAAGCCUACCAAGGCGACGAUCCAUAGCUGGUCUGAGAGGAUGAUCAGCCACACUGGGACUGAGACACGGCCCAGACUCCUACGGGAGGCAGCAGUGGGGAAUAUUGGACAAUGGGCGAAAGCCUGAUCCAGCAAUGCCGCGUGGGUGAUGAAGGCCUUAGGGUUGUAAAGCUCUUUUACCCGGGAUGAUAAUGACAGUACCGGGAGAAUAAGCUCCGGCUAACUCCGUG
Molecule: ribosomal RNA, 433 nt
Filed under: uncultured bacterium
Lineage: Bacteria
Description: partial 16S ribosomal RNA
Rfam family: Bacterial small subunit ribosomal RNA
Source: RNAcentral